RNAcentral lists this ribosomal RNA (397 nucleotides) under uncultured bacterium. Its description in RNAcentral is "bacterial SSU rRNA". It matches the Rfam family "Bacterial small subunit ribosomal RNA", at positions 362 to 776 of the family's 1533-position model. The record is from RNAcentral.
UAUNCCACAAUGGGGGAAACCCUGAAGCAGCNACGCCCCGUGAGUGAAGAAGUAUUUCGGUGUGUAAAGCUCUAUCAGCAGGGAAGAAAAUGACGGUACCUGAUUAAGAAGCCCCGGCUAACUACGUGCCAGCAGCCGCGGUAAUACGUAGGGGGCAAGCGUUAUCCGGAUUUACUGGGUGUAAAGGGAGCGUAGACGGCCAGACAAGUCAGAAGUGAAAGCCCAGGGCUCAACCCUGGGACUGCUUUUGAAACUGCCGGGCUGGAGUGCAGGAGAGGUAAACGGAAUUCCUAGUGUAGCGGUGAAAUGCGUAGAUAUUAGGAGGAACACCAGUGGCGAAGGCGGCUUACUGGACUGUAACUGACGUUGAGGCUCGAAAGCGUGGGGAGCAAACAGG